GCAAAGUGUGUGUGCAGGAGAGGAGUCGAGCAGAGAGAGCUCCUUUUUCAUGAAACGGGAGUAAAGUCGUGAACUUAGAGGAGAGAAACAAACUAAAGUAUCGAUCAUAUACCACUACCAACGUUUGGCUCGAUAUCUGCAUCGAUCUGCCCACCCUUGUCUCCUGGAUCGUAGCUGAGAUCAGCGUGAACCACGUGGGUCUCUGCUCCCUGAUCUGUUUGCUGUGUUUGGAAAGAGUUCCAGCUUCAUCACGGAGUUUCUCUCGGUUUGUGGGCUCAUCUAAAGCUGAUCAUCAGGAGGAGACGAGCCAUUUAGACUCAGCUCAGCCACUGCAGAGGAAACAAUGACUUCAACCCAAAAGGACCAACAUGGAGCGAGAAGUCAGCGCUCUCAGGAGGCCGACAAACCUCACAGAAGAAAGGGAGAGAAAAAAUACAGCUGUGAUGAGUGUGGGGAGGAUUUUACCCGGGCUGGAAGCUUAAAAACACACCAACUCAUCCACAGUGGAGUUAAAGCUUACAGCUGUGAGUUGUGUGGAAAAUCUUUUACCCAGGCUGGACACUUGAAAAGACACCAGCUCACCCACAGUGGAGUUAAAGCAUACAGUUGUGACUUGUGUCGAAAAUCUUUUAACCAGGCUGGACACUUGAAAAGACACCAACUCAUCCACAGUGGAGUUAAACCGUACACCUGUGACUUGUGUGGAGAGUUUUUUACCCAGACUGGAAGCUUAAAACGACACCAACUCAUCCACAGUGAAGUUAAACCGUACAGUUGUGACCUGUGUGGAAAAUCUUUUACCCUGGCUCAAAGCUUAAAAACACACCAGCUCAUCCACAGUGGAGUUAAAGCGUACAGCUGUGACUUGUGUGGAAAAUCUUUUACCCAGGCUCGACACUUAAAAACACACCAACUGAGCCACAGUGGAGUUAAAGCGUACAGCUGUGAUCAGUGUGGUAAAGCUUUUACUCACAGUAGCCACUUACGGCUUCAUCUAGUUACCCACUCUGGAAUUAAGGCAUACAGCUGUGACAUUUGUGGAAAAACUUUCAGUCGCCAAGGGGACUUAAAUAUCCACCUCCGCAUUCACACUGGACAUGAUGUUUACUGCUGUGAUCAGUGUUGGAAACCGUUUACAACAGAUGCACAGUUACAAAGCCACAUGUUUACCCACACCGAGGAGAGACCUUAUAAAUGUGACCUGUGUGAGAAGACUUUUAAAUCUCCACGUUACCUUAAAGUCCACCAACAGAUCCACACCAGAAAGAAACUCUACAAGUGCAGUUACUGUGAGAAGCAGAGCGACACAGAUGGAUCCAGUUCUCAACCCUGUCGUCACUGUGGAGGUGGGAAAGCGUUUCGUUGUGACCUUUGUGGAAAAACUUUCAAUCAGCAACGAAGCCUAAAAAUGCAUCAGCGUAGACACACUGAAGACAAAAUGAUCUACUGUAAAGAAUGUGGGAGAGGCUUCCCCACUCAAUCUGAUUUUAAACAACAUGAAAUCUUCCACAGUGGGGUUAAAAAGCACGCCUGUAACCAGUGUGCAUACUUCUCCACCUCUGCAGGUCAGCUUAAAAGACAUAAACGAGUCCACACAGGAGAGAAACCAUACAAGUGUAGACACUGUAACAAAAGGUUCUCACAAUCGAGCAGUCGUAACCUUCAUGAACGUACACACAUUGAAGGGAACUUCAGCUGUGACCAGUGUGACAAGAGCUUCAAGAAUCUCAGUUCAUACUCCAAACACAAACGAUCCCAUUCUCAUUAUUCAUUAUCUGCUCUGUGCAAACAGAGUAAGCGUGAUCAUGAAAUCAUUCCUAUUACUGAAUCACAAUGACUCUGCAGAGACAGAAAGAUCCUCUUCUGGUUUCAGGUUCAGACUUAAAAACCUUGAGAUCAGGCUCCACAGAGUUCAGAUGGAAUCUCCUGUAAAGAGUAUCAGCUGAUGUCACACUUGGAUCUCAUAAGGUAGCUCUGAUUUCUGGACAUGCAGUAAAUAAUCCUGAAUCUUAAAUUUGAUAAGCUGCAAGUAUAGAUGUGUACAUCAAGUUUUUGUGUUUUAAUUUUAAUGCAUUUUAUUGCUCUGAAAUGUUAUUCCUGUUUACAUAAUUCCCCCUCAGAAAACAGUAGUGUUUAGUUGUAGUACUUGUAUUAUAAAGUUAUAGAAAUAUCUAUUAAAGCCAGCUGUUAAGUGUCAGUCUUGGUAGCCGGGGAUUGGUCUGCCAGGGCCUCCGCUCCUGGCCACCGCCUGACUCACAUUUCACCCAACCCCUACGGUGCUUCCUGCGGGUGGUGGGCCUGCAGGAAGAUGGGCCCCUGUCCCUUUUUCGGGCUGUGCCCGGCCGGGCCCAAUGGACUAAGGCCCGGCCAGCACACACUCGCCCUCGGGCACCCUCCCCGGGCCUGACUCCAAGGCGUGCCCCCGGUAACCAUAUCCCAGGCAGGGUGAACUGUUCCCUCGAUGGUCUUUUCAUAGGGGUCUUCUGAAUCGCUCUUUGUCUGGUCCCUCACCCAGGACCAAUUUGCAAUGGGAGACCCUACCAGGGGGCAAAAGCCCCCAGACAGCAUAGCCCCUGGGAUCCCUGGGAGACACAAAUCCCUCCACCACGAUAAGGUAGCGAUUCACAGAGAGAAUCAGCACCUCCGAAUCUGAGGCCAUGAGCCUCAGCCGGAAAGGGGUGGAGUGCCCUGGGCGAGGUUUUCCAGGCUUGUCACACCUGGAGGAGGCCCCGGGGCAGACCCAGGACACGCUGGAGAGAUUAUAUCUCUCGGCUGGCCUGGGAUUGCCUUGGUUUUCCCCUGGAUAAGCUGGAGGAGGUGGCUGGGGAGAGGGAGGUCUGGGCUUCACUGCUUGGGCUGCUGCCCCUGCGACCUGGCCCCGGAUAAGCGGAAGAAAACGGAUGGAUGGAUGAUAAGUAAGUGCAGUUUAAAAUUUCAGAGCUGGUUAGAAAUGCACAGCAGCACCGAGCAGUGUUGCACAUAUAUUAAUAAAUAGAAUUUGGCCCAUUUUUCCACUCUAUGUGACUUUGAUAAUCAAAUCACCAGAAUAAAUAAGUGAUUUCAUGAAGCAUUAGUGUGCCAUUUUCAUGUUAUAUUUUCACUAUUCUUUAUAGAGCUCUAUCAUCUUUUCUCUGAUAAUCUCUGUGAUUGGAGAAGGUGACGCUCACUUGAUCUAUGUUGUGCAGAUGAAAAGUGAAAUGACACGUGAAGCUCCUAGUUUGUGGUGGAAAAUCUGAGUGUCAUCCGAUUUAACUCCUAUGACUGUCGUCUGUUCAUGGUCAUGAGGCAUUUUGUGUGUCUUUGUUAUCAGGCAGAUCUGAUCUCAGGAAAUCAGUUUGGUUUCAACACUGUUUAUUUUGAGGGAAUAUUCAGGCAGUUAAAUGUGUUGAUUAAUGAACAAGAGUCUAAAAAUGGGCUAAAGGAGUUCUGAAGUACAAAUAUAUGUGCACUGUGUGUAAUGGGACUUGGCAAGACUUUUAGGUUGAGAGAUUUGCUAAACAUGUCUGGGUGAGUGGCUGUGUUUUCAUCUGCCUGUGGUGUAUCUCCUGGAUCCGGCCUAUGGCAGAGCCCUUCUCGAUUUUUCUCCCAUCGGCACUAAUUAACAGGGCUGCAUUUAAGCCCUCUGUGGCUGUCUGUCCUUCCCCAGCCCAUUAACUACCUGUAAUGGAACCAGUUCUCAUGUUCUUUGUGGGUGUCUAUGCUGUUGAUUGUUAACUCACCCUGUUUUCCUUGUGUCUACAUCUCUUAUAAAACCACUGUUCAGCCUUUCAGCAGCUUGCACCCUUGCUCUGGAUUAGUUGCAGGCUACAGGUAAGAUCAUCCACAUGCUGGUUGAAAUCCCUGAUCGUUAAGAGUUUAUCCAGUUUAAUGCCGGAAGAUGAAAAGUCUGGAAAAACCUGAAUGAAAACACCACCAGGGCUGGGAGGGCUGUAAAUUAAAACACAGUAAAAUAUAUUUGAUGAACCAACCUUAAGUAGUGACUCAAAGGAGUGCAAAGUCUCAGAGUCCAUUGCCCUGCAGGAGAAACUGUCCCACCAAACGCAGAGUCCUGACGAAAUAACAGACGACCGGGCAGAACUCAUUAAGGUGAAACAAUGGGCCUUUCUCAGUUCUCAAGUACGUGAGUCCGUACUCGCGUUCUCGGCAAAUCCGGACUUACCAAGAACACAUGGGAGUACGGACUCGCGAUUUGUACAAUUGGAGCAACAGCGUACUUGAUGAUGUCACAGGUUCGGAGUUCCCUCUUAAUUUAACUGUGAUUAAUAUGUUAUGAAGCUUAACUUUAAUCUCAGCCAAACCGAUUUACUCAAAUAAAACUCUGAAAUGGACCAAACAUUAAGAUUUAGAAGUUAUCUAAGAGAGUUGCAUAUCAUGUUUAACCUGAGUAGCAAAAGGCCGAGGGGGGGUUGAAAACGAUGUGCGGGAGUCUGUUCUCGCCGGGCUCUAGUGAUCCUUGACCUCGCAGUCUGCUAUCAAGCUGGUGGGUAACAGGCAUCUCUGGAAACGUCGAAGCACUUUUGGAAAUAUGGGAUAUCUUGAUAAAUCAAGCAGAUAUUUGAUGUUUACACAACUACAUUCUCUCCUGAAAAUUACUUAAAAGUUUAUUUUGUGACCCAGAAGGAGUAAUAUUUAAAAAAAAUUUAGCCACGCUCCUCCGCCGUUGCCGUGUUUAAAUUUUGGACGAAAUGCAUUCUGGGAUAUUUAGCUGUACCAAGUCCACACAAGUCACCACCAAUGCAUGCUCGAUAAAACGGGCGGAGCGAGAACACAUCUGGGACUUUUUUGCGUUCUCUGCUUGAUGCGCAUGUCACUGUCACUACCCGAUCCGUACCGGAAACCCGAUCGGUGCCACGCAUGUGCGAAAGGCCCAUACUUCCGCUCAUUUUACGAUAGUUACGGGUCAGAGUAUCUGUUAAGAUGUUAACAAUAAUAAGUACCUCUUAAAAUGUUUGCAAUAAUGAAACAUUUCAAUUUAAUGUAGAGAAAAACGAAAAAUAAAAAGAUAGCCACAGAUCAGGACUCCCCGAUCCUUACUGCACAUGUGCAAAGUCAGACCAUAGAAAUCGGGGGCCUUUCUCAAUAUGCGUACUUGUGCGUACUUGCGUUCUCGUGUACUCGUGAUACGUCAUCAGUCGGAGACCAAGUACUGUUCCAAUUUGAAGUACGCAUCAAGCCGAGAACGCGAAGAAGUCCCGGAUGUGUUCUCGCUCCGCCCGUUUUAUCCAGCAUGCAUCGGUGGUGACUUGUGUGGACUUGGUACAGCUAAAUAUCCCAGAAUGCAUUUUGUCCAAAACUCAACAGCGGACUCCCGGCACAUCGUUUUCAACACCCCCCCCCCGCUCGCGGUCUUCUCACUACUCAGGUUAAAGAAACCCCAGCAGCUGUCUAUAGUAUUGAGUAUCCACUAGAAUAGAAAUAAAAGCGUUCUAACAUCUCACCUGCUUGUUUUUAUUAAGGUAUGUACACGUAUGUACACGUAUGUACAUGUACACUAUUUUUAUUAUUAGAGGUUUCACUACCGAGGUUAAAAAUGAUAUAUAAGUCACUUAGAUCACUUCUAAAUGUUAAUGUUUGGUUUAUUUCAGUGUUUUAUUUGUUCCUGAGUAAACCGGUUUGGCUGUGAUUAAAGUUA
Long non-coding RNA from Pelmatolapia mariae (spotted tilapia), 5632 nucleotides. RefSeq lists it as uncharacterized. The transcript is spliced from 4 exons. NCBI's taxonomy places the organism in Eukaryota, Metazoa, Chordata, Actinopteri, Cichliformes, Cichlidae. The record is from RefSeq and is a predicted model, not a curated record.